RNAcentral lists this transfer RNA (75 nucleotides) under Allobosea sp. RNAcentral's name for it is "tRNA-Thr". It matches the Rfam family "tRNA". Rfam says of the family: Transfer RNA (tRNA) molecules are approximately 80 nucleotides in length. Their secondary structure includes four short double-helical elements and three loops (D, anti-codon, and T loops). Further hydrogen bonds mediate the characteristic L-shaped molecular structure. tRNAs have two regions of fundamental functional importance: the anti-codon, which is responsible for specific mRNA codon recognition, and the 3' end, to which the tRNAs corresponding amino acid is attached (by aminoacyl-tRNA synthetases). tRNAs cope with the degeneracy of the genetic code in two manners: having more than one tRNA (with a specific anti-codon) for a particular amino acid; and 'wobble' base-pairing, i.e. permitting non-standard base-pairing at the 3rd anti-codon position. Lineage: Bacteria; Pseudomonadati; Pseudomonadota; Alphaproteobacteria; Hyphomicrobiales; Alloboseaceae. The record is from RNAcentral.
GCUGCGGUAGCUCAGUGGUAGAGCACUCCAUUGGUAAUGGAGAGGUCGAGCGUUCAAUACUCUCUCGCAGCACCA